RNAcentral lists this ribosomal RNA (492 nucleotides) under uncultured bacterium. RNAcentral describes it as "partial 16S ribosomal RNA". It matches the Rfam family "Bacterial small subunit ribosomal RNA", at positions 29 to 507 of the family's 1533-position model. The record is from RNAcentral.
AGUGAACGCUGGCGGUAGGCCUAACACAUGCAAGUCGAACGGCAGCACAGUAAGAGCUUGCUCUUACGGGUGGCGAGUGGCGGACGGGUGAGGAAUACAUCGGAAUCUACUUUUUCGUGGGGGAUAACGUAGGGAAACUUACGCUAAUACCGCAUACGACCUACGGGUGAAAGCAGGGGAUCUUCGGACCUUGCGUGAUUGAAUGAGCCGAUGUCGGAUUAGCUAGUUGGCGGGGUAAAGGCCCACCAAGGCGACGAUCCGUAGCUGGUCUGAGAGGAUGAUCAGCCACACUGGAACUGAGACACGGUCCAGACUCCUACGGGAGGCAGCAGUGGGGAAUAUUGGACAAUGGGCGCAAGCCUGAUCCAGCCAUACCGCGUGGGUGAAGAAGGCCUUCGGGUUGUAAAGCCCUUUUGUUGGGAAAGAAAAGCAGCAGGUUAAUACCCCGCUGUUCUGACGGUACCCAAAGAAUAAGCACCGUCUAACUUCGUG